GACUCUGUUCAACGGCCGCGGUAUUCUGACCGUGCGAAGGUAGCGUAAUCACUUGUUCUUUAAAUAAGGACUAGUAUGAAUGGCACCACGAGGGUUAUACUGUCUCCCUUUUCUAAUCAGUUAACCUAAUCUCCCCGUGAAGAAGCGGGGAUAUUUUUAUAAGACGAGAAGACCCCAUGGAGCUUCAAACAAACAGCACUUGCUAGCCCACAUUUACUUCAUUAAGCCAAGCAUCCUGACUGCUAGUUUUCGGUUGGGGCGACCACGGAGAACAACCUACCCUCCGCGUUGGAAGAAGACUCUUCUUAACCUCAAGCUACACCUUUAAGUACCAAUAACUUGACAACUAUUGACCCAAUAAAAUUGAUCAACGAACCUAGUUACCCUGGGGAUAACAGCGCAAUCCAUUUCAAGAGCCCCUAUCGACAAGUGGGUUUACGACCUCGAUGUUGGAUCAGGGUAUCCCAGUGGUGCAGCC
This 478-nucleotide ribosomal RNA is filed under the name Limnodynastes dumerilii fryi. RNAcentral's name for it is "partial 16S ribosomal RNA". It matches the Rfam family "Bacterial large subunit ribosomal RNA", at positions 1916 to 2560 of the family's 2925-position model. Lineage: Eukaryota; Metazoa; Chordata; Amphibia; Anura; Limnodynastidae. The record is from RNAcentral.